UGGCGAGCGAACACGGAAGAGCCCAAACCCAUGUCGUCUAGGCGACACGGGGGUUGUAGGACCACGACGUGGCAAGAAGGAAGGGAAAUGGAACGACUUGGAAAAGUCGGCCAUAGACGGUGAAAGCCCGGUACAUGACUCCCUUACGAAGCCUAGUGGUAUCCUGAGUAGCGCGGGGCACGAGAAAUCUUGCGUGAAACAGCGGGGCCCAUCCCGUAAGGCUAAAUACUCCCGAGAGACCGAUAGCGAACCAGUACCGUGAGGGAAAGGUGAAAAGA
Molecule: ribosomal RNA, 278 nt
Filed under: Parabacteroides distasonis
Lineage: Bacteria; Pseudomonadati; Bacteroidota; Bacteroidia; Bacteroidales; Tannerellaceae
Description: partial 23S ribosomal RNA
Rfam family: Bacterial large subunit ribosomal RNA
Source: RNAcentral